Molecule: long non-coding RNA, 231 nt
Organism: Biomphalaria glabrata
Lineage: Eukaryota; Metazoa; Mollusca; Gastropoda; Planorbidae
Exons: 3
Source: RefSeq, a predicted model, not a curated record
UGCAAACAGUUGUGUACAAAGAUGAUUUCACUGGAUGAAAUUCUGUCCUCCAAGAGCAGCUUUUAGUUGAGGAAAGACAACAAUACUAAUUGUAUGUUGGAGGGCAGAUGGAUUAAUGAGAGAGGUGGAAAGAUUGAUGAGAGAGGUGGAAAGAUUGAUGAGAGAGAGGUGGAAAGAUUGAUGAGAGAGGUGGAAAGAUUGAUGAGAGAGGUGGAAAGAUUGAUGAGAGAG